GCCUACGACCAUAUCACCCUGAAUACGCCCGAUCUCGUCCGAUCUCGGACGCUAAGCAGGGUCGAGCCUGGUUAGUACUUGGAUGGGAGACCCCCUGGGAAUACCAGGUGUUGUAGGCU
Molecule: ribosomal RNA, 119 nt
Filed under: Petromyzon marinus (sea lamprey)
Lineage: Eukaryota; Metazoa; Chordata; Hyperoartia; Petromyzontiformes; Petromyzontidae
Source: RNAcentral